AUUGAACGCUGGCGGCAUGCUUUACACAUGCAAGUCGAACGGUAACAGGUUAAGCUGACGAGUGGCGAACGGGUGAGUAAUGCAUCGGAACGUGCCCGGUCGUGGGGGAUAACACUUCGAAAGAAGUGCUAAUACCGCAUACGAUCUGAGGAUGAAAACGGGGGACCGUAAGGCCUCGCGCGAUCGGAGCGGCCGAUGUCAGAUUAGGUAGUUGGUGGGGUAAAGGCCUACCAAGCCGACGAUCUGUAGCUGGUCUGAGAGGACGACCAGCCACACUGGGACUGAGACACGGCCCAGACUCCUACGGGAGGCAGCAGUGGGGAAUUUUGGACAAUGGGCGCAAGCCUGAUCCAGCAAUGCCGCGUGCAGGAAGAAGGCCUUCGGGUUGUAAACUGCUUUUGUACGGAGCGAAAAGGCUCUCUCUAAUACAGGGGGCUCAUGACGGUACCGUAAGAAUAAGCACCGGCUAACUACGUGCCAGCCGCCGCUGUAA
This 493-nucleotide ribosomal RNA is filed under the name uncultured bacterium. Its description in RNAcentral is "partial 16S ribosomal RNA". It matches the Rfam family "Bacterial small subunit ribosomal RNA", at positions 30 to 523 of the family's 1533-position model. The record is from RNAcentral.